UGGGGAAUAUUGGACAAUGGGCGCAAGCCUGCUCCAGCCAUGCCGCGUGAGUGAUGAAGGCCCUAGGGUUGUAAAGCUCUUUCACCGGUGAUGAUAAUGACGGUAACCGGAGAAGAAGCCCCGGCUAACUUCGUGCCAGCAGCCGCGGUAAUACGAAGGGGGCUAGCGUUGUUCGGAUUUACUGGGCGUAAAGCGCACGUAGGCGGACUUUUAAGUCAGGGGUGAAAUCCCGGGGCUCAACCCCGGAACUGCCUUUGAUACUGGAAGUCUGGAGUAUGGUAGAGGUGAGUGGAAUUCCGAGUGUAGAGGUGAAAUUCGUAGAUAUUAGGAGGAACACCAGUGGCGAAGGCGGCUCACUGGACAAUUACUGACGCUGAGGUGCGAAAGCGUGGGGAGCAAACAGG
This 404-nucleotide ribosomal RNA is filed under the name Actinomycetes bacterium. RNAcentral's name for it is "Actinobacteria bacterium partial 16S ribosomal RNA". It matches the Rfam family "Bacterial small subunit ribosomal RNA", at positions 355 to 776 of the family's 1533-position model. The record is from RNAcentral. Lineage: Bacteria; Bacillati; Actinomycetota; Actinomycetes.